Molecule: long non-coding RNA, 107 nt
Filed under: Canis lupus familiaris (dog)
Lineage: Eukaryota; Metazoa; Chordata; Mammalia; Carnivora; Canidae
Description: lncRNA (ENSCAFG00000052644.1)
Source: RNAcentral
UCAUUCAUUCAGCGAUUUCUCCAGAAUUCAUGCAGCUUUCAACUUCUUGAGCAUCUCCAUACAAGAAACUGCGUGGGCACAGAGAUGAUUCAGUGUAGAUGCAGCCA